GGUCAAGUGAAAGCAGGGUCCAUGCGUGGAUGCCUGGGAGCUGUGAGGCGAAGAAGGGCGCGGCCAGCCGCGAAAGUCCGGGGGGAGGAGCCAGCAUCCGACGAUCCCCGGGUACCCGAAUGGGGUAACCCACCUGCCCUGAUGGCAGGUACCUGCACGCCAAUGAAAUAACGUGCAGGGGCGAUACGCUGGGAAGUGAACCAUCUAAGUACCAGCAGGAAAGGAAAUCAACAGAGAUUCCCCCAGUAGCGGCGAGCGAACGGGGAGAAGCCCAAACCGCAUGCGGCGACGUGUGCGGGGUUGGAGGGCGCACGACGAGGCUGGAGAAAGCCGGAGGGCAGUCGAACGGUCUGGGAAGGCCGGCGAGAGAGGGUGAAAGCCCCGUAGACGAAACCCGAAGGGCAGCCGAGUGCGUACCUGAGUACGGCGGGACACGAGGAAUCCUGCCGGAAUCCGGGUCGACCACGAUCCAAGGCUAGAUACUACACAGCUACCGAUAGCGCAUAGUACCGUGAGGGAAAGGUGAAAAGGACCCCGGGAGGGGAGUGAAAGAGAACCUGAAACCAUGGACCCACAAGCGGUCAGAGCCACUUAAGUGGUGAUGGCGUGCCUUUUGUAG
This 619-nucleotide ribosomal RNA is filed under the name gut metagenome. RNAcentral describes it as "bacterial LSU rRNA". It matches the Rfam family "Bacterial large subunit ribosomal RNA", at positions 1 to 613 of the family's 2925-position model. The record is from RNAcentral.